GCUGGGGUGGCGGAACUGGUAGACGCGUACGUUUGAGGGGCGUAUGCCGAAAGGUGUGCGGGUUCGAAUCCCGCCCCCAGCACCA
RNAcentral lists this transfer RNA (85 nucleotides) under Planctomycetota bacterium. Its description in RNAcentral is "tRNA-Leu". It matches the Rfam family "tRNA". From Rfam's summary of the family: Transfer RNA (tRNA) molecules are approximately 80 nucleotides in length. Their secondary structure includes four short double-helical elements and three loops (D, anti-codon, and T loops). Further hydrogen bonds mediate the characteristic L-shaped molecular structure. tRNAs have two regions of fundamental functional importance: the anti-codon, which is responsible for specific mRNA codon recognition, and the 3' end, to which the tRNAs corresponding amino acid is attached (by aminoacyl-tRNA synthetases). tRNAs cope with the degeneracy of the genetic code in two manners: having more than one tRNA (with a specific anti-codon) for a particular amino acid; and 'wobble' base-pairing, i.e. permitting non-standard base-pairing at the 3rd anti-codon position. Lineage: Bacteria; Pseudomonadati; Planctomycetota. The record is from RNAcentral.